This is a non-coding RNA of Carica papaya (papaya), 421 nucleotides long. Lineage: Eukaryota; Viridiplantae; Streptophyta; Magnoliopsida; Brassicales; Caricaceae. The record is from RefSeq and is a predicted model, not a curated record.
UUUGGAGCGGAGAUGACAGAAAACCAUUUGAAGGAAGAGUCUUCCGCAGACCCUGGACUUCAAUAACCUCUUCCUGGAAACCAAGACAUCAAAUCUAGGGGGCAUUGACUGAAAAAAUUUGAAGUGAUUUAACAAACAUGCUACAUUUGGCUCAGGAGCCUGUUAAAACAACAAGAUCUCCAACAGAACUUCAGAACCAGGUGGACAACGGUGAGUAUGAAGAAUCCAGCCAUCUGCACCGAAAAGAAACAUAAAAUGCAUCAGCAGUCAGCAACACAGCACCGCACAACCUUUGUCAAAAUUCCAAGAAAACACAGCAACCAUGCUUGGUAGGAUGGUUAGGUAUUGUAAAGUUACUUCUUUCAAAUCCCGAGCAAGAGUAGCUUAAUGGCAUUGUACUUAGUGGCCUCUCCCAUGAAAA